CACCGCGGUUAUACGAGAGACUCUAACUGACAGCCCACGGCGUAAAGCGUGAUUAUAGGAUGCUACCCUAACUAAAGUCAAAAUCUCCCUAAGCUGUCAUACGCACUUGGGAGCAUGAAGCCCCUCCACGAAGGUAACUUUAUAACCCACAGCCACCCUGAACUCACGAUAGCUAAGACA
RNAcentral lists this ribosomal RNA (180 nucleotides) under Atractosteus spatula (alligator gar). RNAcentral describes it as "partial 12S ribosomal RNA". Lineage: Eukaryota; Metazoa; Chordata; Actinopteri; Semionotiformes; Lepisosteidae. The record is from RNAcentral.